RNAcentral lists this ribosomal RNA (253 nucleotides) under uncultured bacterium. RNAcentral describes it as "partial 16S ribosomal RNA". It matches the Rfam family "Bacterial small subunit ribosomal RNA", at positions 524 to 776 of the family's 1533-position model. The record is from RNAcentral.
UACGAAGGGUGCAAACGUUGCUCGUAAUUACUGGGCGUAAGGCGUGCGCAGGCGGUUGUGCAAGACAGAUGUGAAAUCCCCGGGCUCAACCUGGGAAUUGCAUUUGUGACUGUACGGCUAGAGUGUGUCAGAGGGGGGUAGAAUUCCACGUGUAGCAGUGAAAUGCGUAGAGAUGUGGAGGAAUACCGAUGGCGAAGGCAGCCCCCUGGGAUAACACUGACGCUCAUGCACGAAAGCGUGGGGAGCAAACAGG